UUGUGUAUUUUGUUAAGCAAAAUCGUCUAAGUCAUUUCCUAGGGUGGGAAAAUCAUUUUGGCCAGGGAAUCGGGGAAUUCUUUGUCUUGGCCAUAGGGUUGGCUAUUGUGUUCUUGUAUUCACAUAUUAAUACGAGUUGGGAAGAAAUUCCUGUAUAUCGUGUGUGCCUUUUUACUGUUUAUGCUGCCUAUUUCGUUCUAAGUUUCAAACGUCCCUAAAAUAAAACUAAGUGUUGGAAAGGCUGAAGUCAAGGCUGGGCUUGACUGCCGCACGGAGGUGAACCUCGAGUAGAAAUUUGAGUGACAUAAAUCACCCCUGUGACACCUACCAUGGUGGUGACGGGUGACGGAGAAUUAGGGUUCGAUUCCGGAGAGGGAGCCUGAGAAACGGCUACCACAUCCAAGGAAGGUAGCAGGCGCGCAAAUUACCCAAUCCUGACACGGGGAGGUAGUGACAAUAAAUAACAAUACCGGGCUCUAUGAGUCUGGUAAUUGGAAUGAGUACAAUCUAAAUCCCUUAACGAGGAUCCAUUGGAGGUCAAGUCUGGUGCCAGCAGUCGCGGUAAUUCCAGCUCCAAUAGCGUAUAUU
Molecule: non-coding RNA, 588 nt
Filed under: Nicotiana attenuata
Lineage: Eukaryota; Viridiplantae; Streptophyta; Magnoliopsida; Solanales; Solanaceae
Description: rRNA SSU_rRNA_eukarya
Rfam family: Eukaryotic small subunit ribosomal RNA
Source: Rfam by way of RNAcentral